CCUCCCGCUUCUCCUCCCUGAGCGGGGGCCUUGAUUCAAGGCUAUUGACCCCGGCGCCCCCGCCGGGGUUUUUUUU
Molecule: non-coding RNA, 76 nt
Filed under: Thiomonas delicata
Lineage: Bacteria; Pseudomonadati; Pseudomonadota; Betaproteobacteria; Burkholderiales
Description: Burkholderia RNA 7 (anti-hemB)
Rfam family: Burkholderia RNA 7 (anti-hemB)
About the family: This RNA motif was identified by computational search in b-proteobacteria Burkholderia.
Source: Rfam by way of RNAcentral